CCUACGGGAGGCAGCAGUGGGGAAUAUUGGACAAUGGGGGGAACCCUGAUCCAGCCAUGCCGCGUGUGUGAAGAAGGCCCUCGGGUUGUAAAGCACUUUCAGUGAGGAAGAACGCCUGGUGGUUAAUACCCAUCAGGAAAGACAUCACUCACAGAAGAAGCACCGGCUAACUCCGUGCCAGCAGCCGCGGUAAUACGGAGGGUGCGAGCGUUAAUCGGAAUUACUGGGCGUAAAGCGCGCGUAGGUGGCUUGAUAAGCCGGUUGUGAAAGCCCCGGGCUCAACCUGGGAACGGCAUCCGGAACUGUCAAGCUAGAGUGCAGGAGAGGAAGGUAGAAUUCCCGGUGUAGCGGUGAAAUGCGUAGAGAUCGGGAGGAAUACCAGUGGCGAGGCGGCCUUCUGGACUGACACUGACACUGAGGUGCGAAAGCGUGGGUAGCAAACAGGAUUAGAUACCCUAGUAGUC
This 464-nucleotide ribosomal RNA is filed under the name Vreelandella stevensii. RNAcentral's name for it is "partial 16S ribosomal RNA". It matches the Rfam family "Bacterial small subunit ribosomal RNA", at positions 338 to 795 of the family's 1533-position model. The record is from RNAcentral. Lineage: Bacteria; Pseudomonadati; Pseudomonadota; Gammaproteobacteria; Oceanospirillales; Halomonadaceae.